UUACGGCCAUAUCAAGUUGAAAUACCAGUUCCCGUGAGAUCACCGAAGUUGAGCCACGUCUAGUCUGAUCAUUACCUAGUUGGGUGAACGCUUGGGAAUACCACGUGCUGAAAG
Molecule: non-coding RNA, 114 nt
Organism: Acanthosepion pharaonis
Lineage: Eukaryota; Metazoa; Mollusca; Cephalopoda; Sepiida; Sepiidae
Source: the annotation of a GenBank genome assembly